Molecule: ribosomal RNA, 1352 nt
Filed under: uncultured bacterium
Lineage: Bacteria
Description: bacterial SSU rRNA
Rfam family: Bacterial small subunit ribosomal RNA
Source: RNAcentral
AUUGAACGCUGGCGGCAUGCCUUACACAUGCAAGUCGAACGGUAACGGGUCCUUCGGGAUGCCGACGAGUGGCGAACGGGUGAGUAAUAUAUCGGAACGUGCCCAGUAGUGGGGGAUAACUGCUCGAAAGAGCAGCUAAUACCGCAUACGACCUGAGGGUGAAAGGGGGGGAUCGCAAGACCUCUCGCUAUUGGAGCGGCCGAUAUCAGAUUAGCUAGUUGGUGGGGUAAAGGCCUACCAAGGCAACGAUCUGUAGUUGGUCUGAGAGGACGACCAGCCACACUGGGACUGAGACACGGCCCAGACUCCUACGGGAGGCAGCAGUGGGGAAUUUUGGACAAUGGGCGCAGGCCUGAUCCAGCAAUGCCGCGUGCAGGAAGAAGGCCUUCGGGUUGUAAACUGCUUUUGUCAGGGAAGAAAUCUUCUGGGCUAAUACCCCGGGAGGAUGACGGUACCUGAAGAAUAAGCACCGGCUAACUACGUGCCAGCAGCCGCGGUAAUACGUAGGGUGCGAGCGUUAAUCGGAAUUACUGGGCGUAAAGCGUGCGCAGGCGGCUUUGCAAGACAGAUGUGAAAUCCCCGGGCUCAACCUGGGAACUGCAUUUGUGACUGCAAGGCUAGAGUACGGCAGAGGGGGAUGGAAUUCCGCGUGUAGCAGUGAAAUGCGUAGAUAUGCGGAGGAACACCAAUGGCGAAGGCAAUCCCCUGGGCCUGUACUGACGCUCAUGCACGAAAGCGUGGGGAGCAAACAGGAUUAGAUACCCUGGUAGUCCACGCCCUAAACGAUGUCAACUGGUUGUUGGACGGCUUGCUGUUCAGUAACGAAGCUAACGCGUGAAGUUGACCGCCUGGGGAGUACGGCCGCAAGGUUGAAACUCAGAGGAAUUGACGGGGACCCGCACAAGCGGUGGAUGAUGUGGUUUAAUUCGAUGCAACGCGAAAAACCUUACCUACCCUUGACAUGUCAAGAAUUCUGCAGAGAUGUGGAAGUGCUCGAAAGAAAACUUGAACACAGGUGCUGCAUGGCCGUCGUCAGCUCGUGUCGUGAGAUGUUGGGUUAAGUCCCGCAACGAGCGCAACCCUUGUCAUUAGUUGCCACGCAAGAGCACUCUAAUGAGACUGCCGGUGACAAACCGGAGGAAGGUGGGGAUGACGUCAGGUCCUCAUGGCCCUUAUGGGUAGGGCUACACACGUCAUACAAUGGCCGGUACAGAGGGCUGCCAACCCGCGAGGGGGAGCCAAUCCCAGAAAACCGGUCGUAGUCCGGAUCGUAGUCUGCAACUCGACUGCGUGAAGUCGGAAUCGCUAGUAAUCGCGGAUCAGCUUGCCGCGGUGAAAACGUUCCCGGGUCU